RNAcentral lists this ribosomal RNA (499 nucleotides) under Pseudomonas putida. Its description in RNAcentral is "bacterial SSU rRNA". It matches the Rfam family "Bacterial small subunit ribosomal RNA", at positions 8 to 501 of the family's 1533-position model. The record is from RNAcentral. Lineage: Bacteria; Pseudomonadati; Pseudomonadota; Gammaproteobacteria; Pseudomonadales; Pseudomonadaceae.
AGAGUUUGAUCCUGGCUCAGAUUGAACGCUGGCGGCAGGCCUAACACAUGCAAGUCGAGCGGAUGANGGGAGCUUGCUCCUUGAUUCAGCGGCGGACGGGUGAGUAAUGCCUAGGAAUCUGCCUGGUAGUGGGGGACAACGUUUCGAAAGGAACGCUAAUACCGCAUACGUCCUACGGGAGAAAGCAGGGGACCUUCGGGCCUUGCGCUAUCAGAUGAGCCUAGGUCGGAUUAGCUAGUUGGUGGGGUAAUGGCUCACCAAGGCGACGAUCCGUAACUGGUCUGAGAGGAUGAUCAGUCACACUGGAACUGAGACACGGUCCAGACUCCUACGGGAGGCAGCAGUGGGGAAUAUUGGACAAUGGGCGAAAGCCUGAUCCAGCCAUGCCGCGUGUGUGAAGAAGGUCUUCGGAUUGUAAAGCACUUUAAGUUGGGAGGAAGGGCAGUAAGCUAAUACCUUGCUGUUUUGACGUUACNGACAGAAUAAGCNGUGNNCUAAA